Molecule: ribosomal RNA, 253 nt
Filed under: uncultured bacterium
Lineage: Bacteria
Description: partial 16S ribosomal RNA
Rfam family: Bacterial small subunit ribosomal RNA
Source: RNAcentral
UACGGAGGGUGCAAGCGUUGUUCGGAUUUAUUGGGCGUAAAGCGCGUGUAGGCGGUCUCUUAAGUCUGAUGUGAAAGCCCUGGGCUCAACCUGGGAACUGCAUUCGAGACUGCAUUGCUAGAGUAUGGGAGAGGGAAGUGGAAUUUCAGGUGUAGCGGUGAAAUGCGUAGAUAUCUGAAGGAACAUCAGUGGCGAAAGCGACUUCCUGGACCAAUACUGACGCUCAUGUGCGAAAGCGUGGGGAGCAAACAGG